GGAAAUGUGACUUAGUGGUAGAGUGCUUGUCUAGUGUACAUGAAGCCCUGGGUUCGAUUCCUCAGUACCA
RNAcentral lists this transfer RNA (70 nucleotides) under Dipodomys ordii (Ord's kangaroo rat). It matches the Rfam family "tRNA". Rfam says of the family: Transfer RNA (tRNA) molecules are approximately 80 nucleotides in length. Their secondary structure includes four short double-helical elements and three loops (D, anti-codon, and T loops). Further hydrogen bonds mediate the characteristic L-shaped molecular structure. tRNAs have two regions of fundamental functional importance: the anti-codon, which is responsible for specific mRNA codon recognition, and the 3' end, to which the tRNAs corresponding amino acid is attached (by aminoacyl-tRNA synthetases). tRNAs cope with the degeneracy of the genetic code in two manners: having more than one tRNA (with a specific anti-codon) for a particular amino acid; and 'wobble' base-pairing, i.e. permitting non-standard base-pairing at the 3rd anti-codon position. Lineage: Eukaryota; Metazoa; Chordata; Mammalia; Rodentia; Heteromyidae. The record is from Rfam by way of RNAcentral.